Molecule: non-coding RNA, 236 nt
Filed under: Fervidicella metallireducens
Lineage: Bacteria; Bacillati; Bacillota; Clostridia; Eubacteriales; Clostridiaceae
Description: T-box sequence
Rfam family: T-box leader
About the family: Uncharged tRNA acts as the effector for transcription antitermination of genes in the T-box leader family.
Source: RNAcentral
ACAAACGCUAUGAACAGGAAAAGUAGAUUAUAUUUAUCAGACAGAGAGAGGUUCCUAGGCUGAGAGAACUUUAUGAAAUAAUAUAAUUGAAGUGCCCCUGUGAGCGUUAAGCUGAAAAUUAGUAGGCUGUUACGGGUUCUCCCGUUAUAGAGAUAUGGUAUAUAUGUACCAGAAUUGAGAUGGGUGUUUUUACCUAAUCAGAGUGGAACCGCGGAAGUUUAACUUCUGCCUCUGUA